RNAcentral lists this transfer RNA (90 nucleotides) under Alphaproteobacteria bacterium. Its description in RNAcentral is "tRNA-Ser". It matches the Rfam family "tRNA". Rfam says of the family: Transfer RNA (tRNA) molecules are approximately 80 nucleotides in length. Their secondary structure includes four short double-helical elements and three loops (D, anti-codon, and T loops). Further hydrogen bonds mediate the characteristic L-shaped molecular structure. tRNAs have two regions of fundamental functional importance: the anti-codon, which is responsible for specific mRNA codon recognition, and the 3' end, to which the tRNAs corresponding amino acid is attached (by aminoacyl-tRNA synthetases). tRNAs cope with the degeneracy of the genetic code in two manners: having more than one tRNA (with a specific anti-codon) for a particular amino acid; and 'wobble' base-pairing, i.e. permitting non-standard base-pairing at the 3rd anti-codon position. RNAcentral also lists the same sequence under 5 other names. The record is from RNAcentral. Lineage: Bacteria; Pseudomonadati; Pseudomonadota; Alphaproteobacteria.
GGAGAGGUGGCUGAGCGGUUGAAAGCACUAGUCUUGAAAACUAGCAACGGGGCAACCCGUUCGUGGGUUCAAAUCCCACCCUCUCCGCCA